This 69-nucleotide transfer RNA is filed under the name Epiplatys dageti (redchin panchax). RNAcentral's name for it is "tRNA-Glu". It matches the Rfam family "tRNA". From Rfam's summary of the family: Transfer RNA (tRNA) molecules are approximately 80 nucleotides in length. Their secondary structure includes four short double-helical elements and three loops (D, anti-codon, and T loops). Further hydrogen bonds mediate the characteristic L-shaped molecular structure. tRNAs have two regions of fundamental functional importance: the anti-codon, which is responsible for specific mRNA codon recognition, and the 3' end, to which the tRNAs corresponding amino acid is attached (by aminoacyl-tRNA synthetases). tRNAs cope with the degeneracy of the genetic code in two manners: having more than one tRNA (with a specific anti-codon) for a particular amino acid; and 'wobble' base-pairing, i.e. permitting non-standard base-pairing at the 3rd anti-codon position. The record is from RNAcentral. Lineage: Eukaryota; Metazoa; Chordata; Actinopteri; Cyprinodontiformes; Nothobranchiidae.
GUUUUUGUAGUUGAAUUACAACAGUGAUUUUUCAGGUCACAGGUCUUGGUUAGACUCCUAGCAGAAAUU